UGCACUGUGCAAUGCCAUGCAGUGCUGCACGGUGCAAUGCUGUGCCAUGCUGCAUUGUGCAAUGCCACCAAUGCACGGUGCAAUGCUGUGCCAUGUUGCUCUGUGCAAUGCACAUGCAGUGCUGCACGGUGCAAUGCCACACCGUGCUGUGCUGUGCAGUGCUGUGCUCUGCUGUGAUGUGCAAUGCCACACGGCACUGUGGAGUGCAACGCUGUGCCUUGCUGCAUUGUGCAAGGCUGUGCUGUGCCAUGCAAUGCUGUGCCGUGCUGCACUGUGCAAUGCCACACAGCGCUGUGAUGUGCAAUGCCAUGCAGUGCUGCACGGUGCAAUGCUGUGCCAUGUUGCUCAGUGCAAUGCCACACUGUGCUGUGGUGUGCAAUGCUGUGCCAUGCUGCAUUGUGCAAAGAUGUGCUGUGCCAUGCCUUGCAAUGCUGUGUUGUGCUGCACUGUGCAAUGCCACACAGCGCUGCAUGGUGCAAUGCUGUGCCAUGUUACAUUGUGCAAUUCUGUGCCAUGCUGUGACAAUAGCACACCGCGCCGUGCUGUUUUGUGCAGUGCCACACCGUGCUGCACAGUGCAGUGCCACACAGCGCUGUGAUGUGCAAUGCUGUGCUGUGUUGCACUGUGCAAUGGCAUGCAGUGCUGCACGGUGCAAGGCUGAACCACACUGCACCGUGCUGUGCCAUGCUGCACUGUGCAAUGCUGUGCUGUGCUAUGACAAUGCCACACCACACUGUGCAGUUCUGUGCAGUGCCACACCGUGCUGCACUGUGCAAUGCCACACAGCGCUGUGAUGUGCAAUGCUGUGCUGUGUUGCACUGUGCAGUGGCAUGCAGUGCUGCACGGUGCAAUGCUGUGCCAUGUUGCUCAGUGCAAUGCACAUGCAGUGCUGCACGGUGCAAUGCCACACCGUGCUGUGCUGUGCAGUGCUGUGCUCUGCUGUGAUGUGCAAGGCCACACGGCACUGUGGAGUGCAACGCUGUGGCGUGCUGCACUGUGCAAAGCUGUGCUGGGGUGCAUUGUGC
This 1025-nucleotide long non-coding RNA is filed under the name Numida meleagris (helmeted guineafowl). RNAcentral's name for it is "lncRNA (ENSNMEG00000001131.1)". The record is from RNAcentral. Lineage: Eukaryota; Metazoa; Chordata; Aves; Galliformes; Numididae.